AUGAACGCUGGCGGCGUGCCUAAUACAUGCAAGUCGAGCGAACAGAUGAGGAGCUUGCUCCUCUGACGUUAGCGGCGGACGGGUGAGUAACACGUGGAUAACCUACCUAUAAGACUGGGAUAACUUCGGGAAACCGGAGCUAAUACCGGAUAAUAUAUUGAACCGCAUGGUUCCAUAGUGAAAGACGGUUUUGCUGUCACUUGUAGAUGGAUCCGCGCCGCAUUAGCUAGUUGGUAAGGUAACGGCUUACCAAGGCAACGAUGCGUAGCCGACCUGAGAGGGUGAUCGGCCACACUGGAACUGAGACACGGUCCAGACUCCUACGGGAGGCAGCAGUAGGGAAUCUUCCGCAAUGGGCGAAAGCCUGACGGAGCAACGCCGCGUGAGUGAUGAAGGUCUUCGGAUCGUAAAACUCUGUUAUUAGGGAAGAACAAAUGUGUAAGUAACUAUGCACGUCUUGACGGUACCUAAUCAGAAAGCCACGGCUAACUACGUG
RNAcentral lists this ribosomal RNA (496 nucleotides) under uncultured bacterium. RNAcentral describes it as "partial 16S ribosomal RNA". It matches the Rfam family "Bacterial small subunit ribosomal RNA", at positions 29 to 507 of the family's 1533-position model. The record is from RNAcentral.